This 176-nucleotide small nuclear RNA is filed under the name Cebus imitator (Panamanian white-faced capuchin). RNAcentral describes it as "U2 spliceosomal RNA (ENSCCAG00000001398.1)". The stretch from base 1 to 125 matches the Rfam family "U2 spliceosomal RNA". Rfam says of the family: U2 is a small nuclear RNA (snRNA) component of the spliceosome (involved in pre-mRNA splicing). Complementary binding between U2 snRNA (in an area lying towards the 5' end but 3' to hairpin I) and the branchpoint sequence (BPS) of the intron results the bulging out of an unpaired adenosine, on the BPS, which initiates a nucleophilic attack at the intronic 5' splice site, thus starting the first of two transesterification reactions that mediate splicing. Lineage: Eukaryota; Metazoa; Chordata; Mammalia; Primates; Cebidae. The record is from RNAcentral.
AUUGCUUCUUGACCUUUUGUCUGAGAUCAAAUGUAGCACCUGCUCUUAUCAGUUUAAUACCUGAUAUGUCCUCUAUCUCAAGAGUCAGGAUCUUUUAAGGAUCUUUCUGGGAGGCCUCAUCCAGUAUCUCAGAUAUCAUGAGCUAAAACUUUGCCACAUGAAUAUUGGUAACUGCA